Molecule: small nucleolar RNA, 104 nt
Organism: Macaca fascicularis (crab-eating macaque)
Lineage: Eukaryota; Metazoa; Chordata; Mammalia; Primates; Cercopithecidae
Source: Ensembl
AUCAUUUUGCAGCUUAUACAUGUGAUGACUGAGUUUUUUAACUCAUAUGUGAGAUAUGCCUUUCUUACAUCUUAUUAUGACAUUAGUACAUUACCCAUUUGAUA